RNAcentral lists this ribosomal RNA (88 nucleotides) under Litomosoides carinii. Its description in RNAcentral is "partial ribosomal RNA large subunit". It matches the Rfam family "Eukaryotic large subunit ribosomal RNA", at positions 262 to 349 of the family's 3401-position model. Lineage: Eukaryota; Metazoa; Nematoda; Chromadorea; Rhabditida; Onchocercidae. The record is from RNAcentral.
GAGUCGGGUUGCUUGAGAUUGCAGCCUAAAGAGGGUGGUAAACCUCAUCUAAGGCUAAAUACGACCACGAGACCGAUAGCAAACAAGU